This 252-nucleotide ribosomal RNA is filed under the name uncultured bacterium. Its description in RNAcentral is "partial 16S ribosomal RNA". It matches the Rfam family "Bacterial small subunit ribosomal RNA", at positions 524 to 776 of the family's 1533-position model. The record is from RNAcentral.
UACGUAGGGGGCAAGCGUUAUCCGGAUUCAUUGGGCGUAAAGCGCGCGUAGGCGGCCGCCUAAGCGGAACCUCUAACCCCGGGGCUCAACCUCGGGCCGGGUUCCGGACUGGGCGGCUCGAGUGCGGUAGAGGAGAGUGGAAUUCCCGGUGUAGCGGUGGAAUGCGCAGAUAUCGGGAAGAACACCGAUGGCGAAGGCAGCUCUCUGGGCCGUCACUGACGCUGAGGCGCGAAAGCUGGGGGAGCGAACAGG